AGUGAACGCUGGCGGUAGGCCUAACACAUGCAAGUCGAACGGCAGCACAGUAAGAGCUUGCUCUUACGGGUGGCGAGUGGCGGACGGGUGAGGAAUACAUCGGAAUCUACUUUUUCGUGGAGGAUAACGUAGGGAAACUUACGCUAAUACCGCAUACGACCUACGGGUGAAAGCAGGGGAUCUUCGGACCUUGCGCGAUUGAAUGAGCCGAUGUCGGAUUAGCUAGUUGGCGGGGUAAAGGCCCACCAAGGCGACGAUCCGUAGCUGGUCUGAGAGGAUGAUGAGCCACACUGGAACUAAGACACGGUCCAAACUCCUACGGGAGGCAGCAGUGGGGAAUAUUGGACAAUGGGCGCAAGCCUGAUCCAGCCAUACCGCGUGGGUGAAGAAGGCCUUCGGGUUGUAAAGCCCUUUUGUUGGGAAAGAAAAGCAGCAGGUUAAUACCCCGCUGUUCUGACGGUACCCAAAGAAUAAGCACCGGCUAACUUCGUG
Molecule: ribosomal RNA, 492 nt
Filed under: uncultured bacterium
Lineage: Bacteria
Description: partial 16S ribosomal RNA
Rfam family: Bacterial small subunit ribosomal RNA
Source: RNAcentral